GACGAACGCUGGCGGCGUGCUUAACACAUGCGAGUCGAACGGAAAGGCCCUGCUUUUGUGGGGUGCUCGAGUGGCGAACGGGUGAGUAACACGUGAGUAACCUGCCCUUGACUUUGGGAUAACUUCAGGAAACUGGGGCUAAUACCGGAUAGGAGCUCCUGCUGCAUGGUGGGGGUUGGAAAGGUGCGGCGGUUGGGGAUGGACUCGCGGCUUAUCAUCUUGUUGGUGGGGUAGGGGAUUACCAAGGCUUUGACGGGUAGCCGGCCUGGGAGGGUGACCGGCCACAUUGGGACUGGGGUACGGCCAAGACUCCUACGGGAGGAAGGAGUGGAGAAUAUAGGAAACUGGGCGGAAGCAUGAUGGAGCAACGCCGGGUGCGGGAAGACGGCCUUCGGGUUGUAAACAGCUUUCGACUGUGACGAAGCGUGAGUGACGGUAAUGGGUAAAGAAGCACCGGCUAACUACGU
Molecule: ribosomal RNA, 467 nt
Filed under: uncultured bacterium
Lineage: Bacteria
Description: partial 16S ribosomal RNA
Rfam family: Bacterial small subunit ribosomal RNA
Source: RNAcentral